AUGACUGGCUUGCUCAGGAAGUUGGUUGAGGGGUGGACGUCUCUUAGUGGCUCUGACAGCAACGCGGUUGCGAGGCAGUUCACUACAUUUGUCCCAGAAUGGACACAUCGGCCAACUGGUUGCCGUGGCCGGUAUGACUACAACAGUUCCCAAGAGCUUGCUGACACACAAGAUGAACUAGAUGGAGACACCGGUCUCAGCAAGGAUGACGACGAUGACAUGGAGAACAUGCAACAGGACACCGAUGAUGAUGAACAUGCUGAAGUUCGUGCAGGUGGUAACAAGGGCAAGGAUGCACCAGAUGUCCCCCCACCGGAGAAAGUCAAAGAACAUACGGGUGCGAGAGGCGAGGGGGUGUUGCCAUCAAAGAGGGGGAGGGCUCCAGAGGAUGUUGGGCAGGGUUCUCCUGGCAAGAGGGUGAAGAAGACUACUACACGCGGGGCCAAGCAUAUCAGUAGGGACCCACUCGAACGCCUUCAUUCAAAGUUGUCAACACGGGGCAACUCAGAUGUUCAUGAGGCGCCAGUCGACAAAACUGCUGCUGCACCGUCAACUGUUCCCACUAACUCUGACGCAAGUGGCCGACCAUCUCCGCCGGUUGCAGAUGUGCAGGUUAGAACAACAUGCAUCCGUACAUCGGGGAGUGACGAGUCGGUAUCUGCCAGGACAGCUGAAAUAUUGCCAACUCUUCUGGCAAUGAAGGAUGUUGCCGUGAGCCAUGCCACCCCAUCAGCAAGCGUUGAAGUGGACGCUCCUGAGACCAACCUAAGCAAGGAAGAUUCCCACUCAUCUGACACUGAUUCCAAGCGCGUGCAUGGUGGCACUCCUGUGUCCACGACAGAAGUGGCUGAGGCGGCAGUUCAUAAUGAUAUGCCAUCUACAGAAGACCGGAGCACAACUAAUGCAGGUGUCAAGCCGUGCACGAGUGACGCAGGUGAACGUCCGGAGCAGACUGCGCCUUUACCCGCAGUGGAAAUCCCUAGCUUAAAUCUGCGCACUUCCAGGCUCCGAGUCAAUGUGGGUGUCCCCUACAGCCCAAACAAGAAGAUUGUCAAGAAAGUUGCGGCUAAUACCACUGACAACACGCCCCGCCCUACAAAUAAGCCCAAUCAUUCUAUAGUGGCCGAUUCAGAUAUGUUUGUUGAUCUUUUACCCUUGGAUCCUGCCUCGCAAGUUGUUCGUGGUCCAGCCAGUAGGCAUGAGAGGCACCCAAUGGCCUUCACCCCACCGAGCUUCAGCCUUGGCAUCAGUCAAGAUCAACCAGUGGUGCCAGAUCCUAUGCCAGUUGCCUUUGCUUUCCCGGGAGGCAUGCCCGCAAUGAUGGUGCAGCCAAUGGUCAAGGGCAGGAAGGCUGUCAAGUUCGCAGAGCCGAUAGUCCAAGGCACCCCUGAGGAGAUUUCACCGUCACUUGAUGAAGCUUACCGCAGGAUCGAGGAGGCAUCAUUGCAGAGGAGGUCCUCACGAGGUCAGGGGCAAUCAAGUUUCAACGUGCCUGCAGAUACGGUAUCUGAGGAUACCAUUAGGAGUGCCACCCCUGGCUCUAUGAGGCAGCAGAGGGUAGUUCACCCACCUCCCGCGGAAGACUACGAGCCCGAAUUUAGGGCCACAAAGGAACAGACCCAGCUGUAUGAUAUUGUCAAGCGAUUUGGAAAUGCGAGGUCCGGCAGCAAGCACAUGAAGGAGCUGAAAGCGUAA
Molecule: ribosomal RNA, 1695 nt
Filed under: Triticum aestivum (bread wheat)
Lineage: Eukaryota; Viridiplantae; Streptophyta; Magnoliopsida; Poales; Poaceae
Description: partial small subunit ribosomal RNA
Source: RNAcentral